Phragmites australis (common reed) is the source of this 1463-nucleotide long non-coding RNA. RefSeq lists it as uncharacterized. NCBI's taxonomy places the organism in Eukaryota, Viridiplantae, Streptophyta, Magnoliopsida, Poales, Poaceae. The transcript has 4 exons. The record is from RefSeq and is a predicted model, not a curated record.
GAGGGGCGGCCUGAGGGCGAUUAGCCAACCGAAACAUAGUGCUCCCAUGCGUGCCCCUCUCCUCCUCUCCUCUCCCACACCCUCUCCCAAUUCCUCCUCUGCUCCUCUCCGAAUCCCGUGAGUUUCUCGCAAGCAGAUGGCCGCAAAAUCAAGCGCCGACGACCAUUGGAGUAAACACGCUCACAUCUGUAGCAGAGUCGAGGGGAUUGAUGUUUGCUGCAGCUGUGAACCACCGCAUCUGGAGCAGAGCCAGGAUGCUGGCUACCGCCACUGGUUUGAACCAUGCAAAAUCCUGCCACUGGGGACAUCUCAAUUCCUUAUGGAGUGGCUGUCUGGUCCGCUGGUAUUGGAACUCGGCCAUUCAUUGUAGAAUUCAUGAAACAAAUUGGCCAGGAGGAUAUUUCAGAAAUAUUCAGAGCCACAGAUAAAGAUAAGUCUGGAACCUUGACUGGAAGAAAUUCAAGAUGUCUUGGAUGAAAUUUAUGUGAGAUAUCCGCAAGUACAGCUCUACCUUAAGAGCAAGCAAAUGAACGGUAUUGCUGAUUUAGUAAGGAGUGCCAAAGUUGAUGCUGAAAAGGAAUCUGUGGAGCUGAAUAUUGAAGAAUUCAAGAAGGCUCUUUCACUUUUGGAUUCACAAGUCAAAUUUCUACCUGCAACUGCUCAGGUCGCUUCGCAGCAAGGCCAUUAUCUUGCUAGGUGUUUCAAUAAGUUGAAGGAUGCUGAAAAACAUCCUGAAGGUCCAAUCCGCAUUAGGGGAGAAGGCCGUCAUCACUUCCGCCCCUUCAGGUUCCUAUUCUUUCCUCGUUCAUUUGCUUGUUGUGUUCCUAGUUGGCUUAUUCCAGUUUUUGAUCUUCAUUAUGAUCAGAAUGUAGUGUAGCAUGUUUUGCCGCAACAUAGCUUCUGAUUACACCAUGUAGCAUAUUUAGUUGAAUUUGGUUUAUGCUAUCAAGGAGGCAGUUAAAAAGCAAUUGACAAGUUUACCUUUUGUUAUCAGCAUCUGAUAUUAUUACUUUUUUCUGAUCCUCCAGGUAGAGGCAUCUUGGACAAUUCGCCGCACUAGGAGGGGAGCAAACUGCUGCACAGCUUUCCGGAGACUGGAUCUCCGUUGGCCACAGCACACAGUGGCUCUGGUACUCCGUGUAUGCGAUGAAACAAAUAAGUUGGCGCAUGAGGGUGCUGGUGGUAUCUGACUAGAAGCGUCGCUUCAUCUUUGAAAGAGAAUCGAGUUGCAUACAGUCAAGAAGGAAAGAUUUUGUUGUGACAUAUUCAGAUGUUUAAGGCCACUUGAGUUUGGUUAUAUGAAUUCUUUUUUGUUAAGGGAAAGAGUUCCCUCGCAGUUGUCACCACGAAGAAAUUCCUUUGUAUUCUUUUGGAGAGUUGUAUACUUUUGCGGCCUGACCAAACUCAGAUUCUUCAGUAGCUUCUAUACCACUAAGAUGAUCAAAAGGGGCCUGUUUUGGACC